CACAUUAAAUUGAUAUGGAGAUGAAACGGGGUGUGAGUGUGAUUAACAGCUGCAGAGCUGCACUCAACACAGCCUCUCUGUAAUGUUUAUGCAAAUCUGCAUCUCCUCUUGUAAUAUUAGCAGCGUUCUGAUCUAGAGAGGAAACACUUCUCAUUAGUCUUCCUUCAACACAAACAUGUUUGCUUCAGCUCCACUGCUGCUGCUGGCUCUCGCCCCCUAUGUGUUCUGUGCUACUGAGCUCAUCCAGCCAGACUCACUGCUUAUAAAGCCAGGAGAGACUUUAACCAUCACCUGUAAAGUGUCUGGAGCUUCUAUCACUGAUAGCAGCCACUAUGGAACAGCUUGGAUUCGGCAACCUGCAGGAAAAGCUUUAGAAUGGAUCAACAAUAUUUAUUAUGAUGGGAGUAUUCAAAAGAAAGAUUCACUUAAAGACAAGUUUGUGGUCUCUCGAGACACUUCCAGUAACUCUGUGACCUUACGGGGACAGAACAUGCAGACUGAAGACACAGCUGUGUAUUACUGCGCUCGUUAUCCACACAGUGACACAACAAGCUGCAGUGCUGCACAAAAACCUCAUCACAAUUCACUUCUUUAAUUAAAUAAUAACUAC
Tachysurus fulvidraco (yellow catfish) is the source of this 610-nucleotide non-coding RNA. Lineage: Eukaryota; Metazoa; Chordata; Actinopteri; Siluriformes; Bagridae. The record is from the annotation of a RefSeq genome assembly.